This 571-nucleotide ribosomal RNA is filed under the name uncultured Glomeromycotina. RNAcentral's name for it is "SSU rRNA". It matches the Rfam family "Eukaryotic small subunit ribosomal RNA", at positions 548 to 1114 of the family's 1831-position model. Lineage: Eukaryota; Fungi; Glomeromycota. The record is from RNAcentral.
UUGGAGGGCAAGUCUGGUGCCAGCAGCCGCGGUAAUUCCAGCUCCAAUAGCGUAUAUUAAAGUUGUUGCAGUUAAAAAGCUCGUAGUUGAAUUUCGGGAUUGACACAUCGGUCGUGCCUUAAGGGGUAUGAACUGGUGUAGUCAAUUUCUCACCUUCUGGAGAACCGCGAUGCCCUUAAUUGGGUGUCGCGGGGAACCAGGACCUUUGCUUUGAAAAAAUUAGAGUGUUUAAAGCAGGCAUUUUGCUUGAAUACAUUAGCAUGGAAUAAUAAAAUAGGACGGCAUGAUUCUAUUUUGUUGGUUUCUAGGAUCACCGUAAUGAUUAAUAGGGAUAGUUGGGGGCAUUAGUAUUCAAUUGUCAGAGGUGAAAUUCUUGGAUUUAUUGAAGACUAACUACUGCGAAAGCAUUUGCCAAGGAUGUUUUCAUUAAUCAAGAACGAAAGUUAGGGGAUCGAAGACGAUCAGAUACCGUCGUAGUCUUAUCCAUAAACUAUGCCGACUAGGAAUCAGACGAUGUUAAUUUUUUAAUGACUCGUUUGGCACCUUACGGGAAACCAAAGUGUUUGGGUUC